CAACGACUGGACCGCGGGAUGCAUCGCGGUGAAGGACCGCGAGAUGGAAGAGAUCUAUUCCAUGGUUCGGCUCGGGACCGAGAUCGUCAUC
Molecule: transfer RNA, 91 nt
Filed under: Albidovulum aquaemixtae
Lineage: Bacteria; Pseudomonadati; Pseudomonadota; Alphaproteobacteria; Rhodobacterales; Paracoccaceae
Description: Defluviimonas aquaemixtae tRNA-Leu
Source: RNAcentral